GAGCAAAGGGGCCGGAUAAAGUGCCGAUCUUUGCAUUGAAGGUUGGCGGCCGCGAUUGCAGUUCUCCAUGCCGCUCAGAUUUUCCUAUGUUUUGUGACGGCCUCGAACAAGCUGCUACAUC
Oryza sativa Japonica Group (Japanese rice) is the source of this 121-nucleotide small nucleolar RNA. The record is from RefSeq and is a predicted model, not a curated record. NCBI's taxonomy places the organism in Eukaryota, Viridiplantae, Streptophyta, Magnoliopsida, Poales, Poaceae.